CCCAUUGGACAGCGUGUUAUCCCGUAAACGAAUACCCCACUGGUAUGCAGGCUCAUUUCCCCGAAAAAACACAUCAAGCCAACAGAACCACUUCGGGGGUAUCAUUGCGAUAUUUUUGUGCCCAUUCAGAGAGGUUAGUCCAUAGGAAGAGUCCGCUUUAACCCCCGAAAAUAUACUUUCAUAAACCAUAAAAGUAGUAGGAUAUUUUUUGGCGACGGCUAACUUCUCCUAUGUGCGAAAAAAAACAAAAAAGUAGGGAUGUCAUUUUGAAAAAUAAUCAUCCACAUGCUCCUCUUUGUCUCUGCGGGGUUGUGCAUUCUGGGUAAAACGGGCUGUUGGCAUUUCAGUCCAAUGAGACCGUUUUGGGGAUAACCGGCACAACGGACAGUCACUCAAAGUGGAGGGAAGGCAGGUAGGAGAAAAUGCGUUUUUAGUGCUAAACCAUAAAUGUAAAGUUCGGGUUCAGGUCGGAUUUGUUUCCUAAAUUGAGCAUCGCCAGGAGCUUCUCCUCCCCCGAUAAAAAAAAACACAUUUCCAGUUAGUCCAUCAAAACCCCCUAACACAGCAUGAUGUGUUCCAGUGACAAAGACCGGGACAAUGAAGAAGAAGAAUGGGAGGAUUUAUGAGGAAGAGGAGAGUCACCGCGUAGAGAGAAAGAUCUCAGACAGAUUUCAAAUGUCACAAAACUAAAAAGAUUCCACUAAUGGGAAAAGCAACAAUGUUUUUGGUUUUUGUUUGGUUGAAAAUACCCUUUUGUAUUACCACCAGAUAUCCGGCGCACGGAAGAACGUCGGCGAGGAUUUUCCCGUGCUGACCCACAUUUUAAUAAACAGGAUUUCAUCCCGGGCCUCCGCCCCAUCCGCCGGUUCUGAGAUCGCGGCGGAGUAAUAAAUGUGAGUGCACAGUGAUGAACAUGGAGUACAUGUGUGGGUUUAUGCUCCGCCACUGACCCCCGAAACCUGAAUGUGUGAUAAGACGUAAUGAAUUUCUCCCGCCUGACAUAAAGCACAGCACUGAGUCAGUGUUUACCUUGCGGAGGAAUGCCAGACACACUCGCGGCAAUAAGCUCUCGUAAAGUCAUCACGUUUCAUUUAAAAUCUUUACAAGGCCGUUCAACUGAGGACAAGGUGUCGUGCACGCGUGGGAGUGAUCGGAGUUUCCGUUUCAAUCUUCUUCAUCUCCCUGUUUGAUGUCGUCUCCAGAUGAAUUUGCGCACGAGGCGACCUUCGGGAGUCAGUGGUACGGACCGGUCUCCCCUCGAUGGAUAACUGGAUUAGAGGCUCAACAAUAAAAACACAAAGGCCUCCUUCGUUCGAUAAGAGGACGGCGCUCAGAAGCGGGAAAGAGAGGAGGAAAAAUGUGCCUGAUGGAAGCCGCUGUGGACUCCUAAAUAAAAGCCGUAAAACGCCAGCACUUGGCUCCAGCUAAGGAAAGCUUAUGCUAAGACACAGCGGUAAUGAUUUUAAUAUCUGCGAGGCCACGCGCUAUAAAUUUAAAAUGUGCUGUGAGAUACACUCGUCCACGAGUACACGACUCCCCCCUCUGCCUCCCGUCACCUCCCUUCUGGGGCUUUUUCUUCACUUUGUGAGAAGGAAACACGCAGAAUCAGCUCCUGUGUUUCUCUUAAUUCACGCAAAAGUAGAUGAUCUUUUAGUUGUUUAUUUAACGUUCUGCUAUUUUACCCUCCCAUCCCAAAAAAUGGAGCGGUUUAUAAAAAGAUCAUCCGUGUGAAGAUCUGGCAUAAAAAUGUGUUUUUGUGACUUUUUUUCCCUUCGUUCCCCUCUGACCUGCUACAGCCAGCGAAAAAGUUUAAUCUGUUUAAUUCUUGAACAAACAAGAUGAAAUAUUUGAAAUCAUGGGUCCACUUUGGAGGCCAUUCAGGCAUCUGGCAAGUCACACCAACGGCACUUCAAAUGCUCCAAAUGUUUUGUUCCAAGCCAUUUUCUAUUAGCCUACAAUCUGGCCAGAACAUUAAUAGAUGUGAAAUCCCGGCAUGAGAGCCGUGCCUCUGCUCUUCGUCUCGGCAUCUGUUCCCUGUUAGGGACGCAGUCAACUCCCUCGCUGUGUGCUCAAUGUCUUUGCCAAGAUUGUUCCUAUCCAACUGUCCAGAAGAUCUUAGAAGGUUGUUUUGGGCGGCUUCAGGUUUUAGGCAAAUGAAAAAUGCACACACGCUUUAUCAAAGCAGAGAUUGGGAACUUAUGAGCAAAAAUAUGUGUUCCUAUAACUCAACGUUUGCCCACUUUUGCUGUACGAUUCUCCCUUUUCUUUACCCUUUACGCCGAUUGUCGCCAUAAGCAAACGCACUUUACCACACACACACACACACACACACACACACACACCGCGGCCGUCCUCUGGCUAUCUCUGGUCAUGGUUUAUAGUGGCAACCAGGCACUUCAUUAGUGGACAGCUGCUGCUGCACCUCCUUCCGUACCUUGACUUCCUCCACCUCUCCAUCCUCUCCCCCUCUCAGCUGCCCUCAGCCUGAACUUGUCCUGGGGGGGAGGAGUGGAGGGAGGUAUGGGAGGAGAAGGAAUGAAGAGGGGGGGUGGGGGGGCGCUUGCAUGGUCUGAUUGCUUCUCUCGUGUCAAUUGAUGGAGAGUGUGUGUUUGCGUGUGAGUGUUUUAUACUAAACAGACCGCCUACUAAACCUGAACCCGGACACCAACCACAAUUCUAACUUCGCCCUUAAAUACAAGUGUGAACCCUCAAAACAGAUUUUAAAGGUCCCAAAAAGUGAAGAGCUCACGGUCCUCACUCCGCAGGUGAAACUGGUCUGGUUGGUCCUCACAAAGACAGAAAAAUAAACACACACACACAGGCCUACUCCUAUAGGGACCAGCACGUUGACCCCCAAAGGAACGGGGGUCAAUGGACAGUAAUACCAGUCAAUGGACACACACAUUCACACAAAGAAUGAAGAGGCCAGUAUGUGAGAGCAGCUUGUAAUAAAAUAGAGAAAUAAACAUGAACUUUCUGAUAUGAGAUGUUUUAUCAGAUGAGUAUCAUGUUUUUAGCAACAUCCAUCUGACAGAACACUUGUCUGUCCCAUCCCGCGUAUCUUUAUCCCCCCACUAGAAUAAGUCCAGGCUGAGCCUUUGCCCCCCCAAAUCCUUCCCUGAAGCGCCGGCGUCAAUCCCAGCUCCUCUUUCAUGUCUAAUCGGCUUUUACAAGCCCCGGCCCCCCGUAGGCCGGCGUUUACAACUUCUGCCCCUUAUUGGCUGGAUGAGUGAGCGUUGUUGAGGGGCGCAGGUGCAAAAAGUUACUCCCUAAAUAAGAGGCAAUGACGAACAGGUGUCUUCUGAGCGGCUUCUGAGGCGGGGGAACCGUCACGUGAGGGAACACACGGGGGAACCGGCUCGUUUUAACCGGUUCUGCCGAAUUUCCGUUCAACAAAAGGAGGCUGGGCGGACUUCUGCUUUUUAACAAACGCAGCCUGGGGGCAGAUUUAUAGUGUCUGGGUCACUCUGAUGUUACUGCUUCUCUACGUGAUGUACGAGCAAUUAAGAGGUAUCUAAGCAACCAGCUGAUCGCAUCUCAAAUACGCUCUUCACUUUAUUACGUGAAACUCCUUCAACUUCUGAUUGAUGUCAUGAGACAUCUAUAAAGACUGUGUAGUCUUCAACAGGUUAGCAUCAACAGGUUAGCAUCAGCAGGUUAGCAUCAACAGGUUAGCAUCAGCAGGUUGGCAUCAGCAGGUUAGCAUCAACAGGUUAGCAUCAGCAGGUUAGCAUCAACAGGUUAGCAUCCACAGGUUUACAUCAGCAGGUUAGCAUCAACAGGUUAGCAUCAACAGGUUUACAUCAACAGGUUAGCAUCAGCAGGUUGGCAUCAGCAGGUUAGCAUCAACAGGUUAGCAUCAGCAGAUUAGCAUCAGCAUGUUAGCAUCAACAGGUUAGCAUCAGCGGGUUAGCAUCCACAGGUUUACAUCAACAGGUUAGCAUCAACAGGUUGGCAUCAGCAGGUUAGCAUCAACAGGUUAGCAUCAGCAGGUUAGCAUCAGCAGGUUAGCGAAUGUGUUGUUUUGACUCUUGAAUCAUAUUUAAACAUGUGGCUCAAUAACAAGAGUUGACUGUCUCUGUUCAAGACUUACAAAAUAAACACGGAGCAGCGAGUGAUUAAAAGUAUCUCACAAACAACAAGGACAAGUUCCCUGUUUAGUACGAAAUAAACGGCUCCUCUGUAAACAAGUCCGGAGAGAAUCCUCUCAAAGGAUUCAAAUGUCAGUGAGAAAAGCACGCCGGCCAAGUGCCAAACAAUGUGGAAACAACAGUCAUUGCUUUGGUACCACAUGCCAAACAAGCAAUCAUGUUACUCUGCUCUUGUACUUUGUUAAACCGCCUUUAAUGGACUUCUGCCGGCCUUUCUUAAGACUCUGGAGCGCGUACAAUUUUAUUUAAUCAAAUAUUCGCUUCAACCGGUCCAAACUUGCGCCGCAUCUGUCAAAUAUGUAAGUUGUGGGAAGUUGAUGGCAGCGAGCUGCCAAAAAGAUGCGAGGCGGGUUCGCUGCAGCCCUUCCUGCUGUAGAAUGAACAAAAACAAACAGUUUAUUGCAGACUUCAAACAAACAUGGCACGAAACCAAGACCUAAAUGCACUCAAGAUGUGGCACCCGAGAGCCCGCGGACCGAAUCGCCUGUUCGGCAGAACUGAGCUCGCGUCUCCUCGGAUCCAAGCGGCAGCUCGGUAAUUAAAACAUCCUAAUAGGAGAGAGCAGGAGUCCAGACGAGGUGUCACCGGCUCCGAUUCAGCGUCCUGUGUUUUGGCCGAGGAAGGAGAAACACUCGACUCGACAGCGUUUAGAGGCCGAUUUUAAUGUCAAGCGUCUCGAUGAGACGGCGUCCAGACACGGCGUCCAGACACGGGAGGAACGUGUUGGUGCUGUUGUGUAAUUUCAUGGUUUUUCACUGUUAUGCAAAGCAAAGCAAUAAAACCAAAGUAAAAUACGAAUAGAUUUUUAUAUCAGAAUUCAAAGAAAUGGAGUUCUUUGUAAAGGACUUUUAGACAUAUUGUUAAAUAGAGCAGGUGUGUCACCUGAAAGUCACAAUGAUUCCGGAGGAGGUCCAACCUGACCAUUACUUUAUUAGUUAGAGCGACACAGUCAUUUAUUAUGCAGCAGAUGUUAAAUUGUUUUCCAGCUUCGGUCUUUCAGUAACGUUCACUUGGAAUCAACCAAACAGUGAGUGAUUCAUUCGCUGACUAAGGGCCCGUGGCUGCGUGAAGCAUAAGCGGUUUUACAAGAUUGAUUAAUUCUAAUUCCUUCACUCGAUCCCACCGGAUUUUAACUCAGUUUAUUGGUACAAUGCUGAAUUAUGGGAAGGAGAGAGCUACAGAGGACUCUGUGUGUGUGUGUGUGACGCUUUACACAAAGCUCACGCCAGGAACGAGUACAAACAGCCGCGGCCACAACGGCUUCGCUGCCAAACACUGGCUUUCUCAUCAACCUCGACCAACCACACGCAAACACAAGUGCGCUAACACACAAACAGACACACGCGGGCGGGGAGGCAAAGUGGCAAAGCAACGCAAACAGGUCAAAAACGCCAGAAAAGACAAAUACGAACACACGCGCGUGUGUGUGUGUGUGUGUGUGUGUGUAAGAAGCCGACCUUGUGGCUCACAUCCCCUUAAAUCACAACAACGUGAGAUUGAGCAGAAGCCGAACAAAUCACUGUCAUCCAAACCAAACAGCGACCCACAUCUCUGCCUCCGACCUUCUGGAGAGAAGAAAAACCCACAUUCAAGUAAAUACACAUCGUCAUGUCAAAACCUUCCCAUCCACUCGCUCAGUUUUUGCACAUGUUGAUUUAGAGGAAAAUGAUCCACGGCCGCCACAAGGGCUCACAGAGGGGAGCGGGUCACGGGGAGAUGAGGGUCCUGGGCGAGAGGUGGAGGGAUUUCCCCCGCCAUGUGACGGAGGACGGGGAGGAGGAGGAGGAGGAGGAGGAGGGAGUUGUUUUCGGAGCUGCUUUCCAUCCAGCAAGUUCCUGGAACGGGAGAGAGGAGCGAGGGGAGCUGGAGGCGGGCCGUCCUCCCCUGCACAUAAAUCCAACCGCGUCCCGGCGUCCCGGGCUCGGAGAGAGUCACGGAGGCCCGUAGGCCAGGGCGAUGUCUGCUCCGCCCCUCUGGACCCGGCGGCCCGGGGAUACGGAGGUGUUUCAGGGGCGGAGGCGGAGGUGACGGUAGUCCGGAGAGGGUCCACGUCCUGAACUUUUACAGCCUCAGGCUUUAGGGGGACGUUCUGUCAGCACUAACAAAAUAUAAUUAAAGAAUCAUAAUUAAAUGUGCCCAGAAUUAAAGUAAUUCAUAUACUUUUGCUCAUGAAAUCUUUUGAGCUGAUCUUAUGUUUUUAUUUGAAGAGCAGCUACAGCUCUAAAAUAAAUGUAGCAAUUAAGUAAUCAAGUAACUAAGCACAAUAUCACCCUGAUAGCAGCACGCAACCACCUACCUACAUUAAGUAUACUUAGCUUAGCUUAGCUUAUAUUCCACCACUCAGCGCUCUAGUAAUCCUGCAUCCCAGUAACUUGUUGGCACCAGUUCUACCAGAAACAGGGCAGGAAAUACAAAAUGGAGCCAAGCUGUGAUAACAUUUUUGCAACUGCCAAGACACUUAAAGUGGUACUUUUGGUCGUACGAAUGUACUGUAUCGUACAGCAAACUAGUGCACAUAAAAGUGUAACAAUAAAUAACAGGAGAUAUAAGUCCCUGAUGCAUGCGGCUGUUCUGCACGUGUGUUUUCACUUCACACUUGUGUUUUACAUUGAGCAAUAACUGGAAUUUAGAAACAUCUGUUCACACGGCCGAACACCAAAUAUCACAACGAGAACGAGAUUUUUUGUUCCACAGUUUCAUUUUUAUUUGAUUGAAUUUCUUUGUGCAUUUGAUACCUUAAUGAAUAAUGAAGCAGUAGUUUAUGGUUUCAAUCUCUACUUUUAGGACAUUAUGUACAUUAUGGUCAAUGUUCCGUCAAACAGACCAUGAGGCAGAGUGCUCUUUAGGGCGGGGCUUACUGUGAUUGACAGGUUGCAAUUCGCAAAAGGUUUGCAGGGAUGACGUGACAUGAAAAACUAUCCAGCAAUCAUCUUCCCUCCUCCCCCCGUCUUCUCCGGGUCGUCUGCCCGUCCCCCCCCCCCGUCCCCCCCGUCUCGCUUUGAGCGGUCGCAGGCCGCGCUCAGAGGAAGUGAUGCAGUCCAUCUGGGGUGGUCGUUAUCGGCGGAG
Molecule: long non-coding RNA, 7217 nt
Organism: Gasterosteus aculeatus aculeatus (three-spined stickleback)
Lineage: Eukaryota; Metazoa; Chordata; Actinopteri; Perciformes; Gasterosteidae
Source: Ensembl